GACGAACGCUGGCGGCGUGCCUAAUACAUGCAAGUCGAACGCUGAAGGAGGAGCUUGCUUCUCUGGAUGAGUUGCGAACGGGUGAGUAGCGCGUAGGUAACCUGCCUGGUAGCGGGGGAUAACUUUUGGAAACGAUAGCUAAUACCGCAUAAUAGUAGAUGUUGCAUGACAUUUGCUUAAAAGGUGCAAUUGCAUCACUACCAGAUGGACCUGCGUUGUAUUAGCUAGUUGGUGGGGUAACGGCUCACCAAGGCGACGAUACAUAGCCGACCUGAGAGGGGGGUCGGCCAGACUGGGACUGAGACACGGCCCAGAGGGCUACGGGAGGCAGCAGGAGGGAAUCGUCGGCAAGGGACGGAAGUCAGACCGAGAAACGCCGAGGGAGGGAAGAAGGAUGUCGGAUCGGAAAGCUCGGUUGUAAGGGAAGAAAGAGUGUGAGAGUGGAAAGUUCACACUGUGACGGUAUCUGACCAGAAAGGAACGGCUAACUACGUG
RNAcentral lists this ribosomal RNA (495 nucleotides) under uncultured bacterium. RNAcentral's name for it is "partial 16S ribosomal RNA". It matches the Rfam family "Bacterial small subunit ribosomal RNA", at positions 28 to 507 of the family's 1533-position model. The record is from RNAcentral.